This 495-nucleotide ribosomal RNA is filed under the name uncultured bacterium. RNAcentral's name for it is "partial 16S ribosomal RNA". It matches the Rfam family "Bacterial small subunit ribosomal RNA", at positions 28 to 507 of the family's 1533-position model. The record is from RNAcentral.
GAUGAACGCUGGCGGCGUGCCUAAUACAUGCAAGUAGAACGCUGAAGGAGGAGCUUGCUCUUCUGGAUGAGUUGCGAACGGGUGAGUAACGCGUAGGUAACCUGCCUGUUAGCGGGGGAUAACUAUUGGAAACGAUAGCUAAUACCGCAUGACAACAGUUAUUGCAUGAUAACUGUUUAAAAGGGGCAACUGCUCCACUACCAGAUGGACCUGCGUUGUAUUAGCUAGUUGGUGAGGUAACGGCUCACCAAGGCGACGAAGCAUAGCCGACCUGCGAGGGGGGUCGGCCAGACUGGGACGGAGACACGGCACAGACGCAUACGGGAGGCAGCAGGAGGGAAUCGUGGGGAAUGGGCGGAAGUCUGAGCGAGAAACGCCGCGGGAGUGAAGAAGGAUGUCGGAUCGUAAAGCUCUGUUGUAAGAGAAGAACGAGUGUGAGAGUGGAAAGUUCACACUGUGACGGUAACUGACCAGAAAGGGACGGCUAACUACGUG